RNAcentral lists this long non-coding RNA (332 nucleotides) under Lepisosteus oculatus (spotted gar). Its description in RNAcentral is "lncRNA (ENSLOCG00000021222.1)". The record is from RNAcentral. Lineage: Eukaryota; Metazoa; Chordata; Actinopteri; Semionotiformes; Lepisosteidae.
GUUAGUUCUUGUUUCUUGCACAGCAGCUCAAAUGCACAUUAAAAGAAGAGUCAUUCUCUUAGCUACCUCAUUCCCAAAAGUCUGGUGUGCCCUUUCAGAGUGAGCAAGGGGCCAGGACUGCUUUUCAUCUCCGGAAAGGGACGGAGGCUACACUUGGGGAGGGGAGGAGUUUGGUUUUUGAAGUUCUCCUCUUCAGGAAGGCCAAUGGAACAUUCUUUUUCUCUGGUCAGGGCUGUUUGAGGCAGGAAGACUUGAGACCAGAAACAGACAUAACAGACUGCUUAUCACAGCUGAAAGAGAGAGGCUGCAUCUGACAUUGAGGUUAAAAAAGA